RNAcentral lists this long non-coding RNA (237 nucleotides) under Elaeis guineensis (African oil palm). Its description in RNAcentral is "long non-coding RNA (EGUI_LNC007076)". Lineage: Eukaryota; Viridiplantae; Streptophyta; Magnoliopsida; Arecales; Arecaceae. The record is from RNAcentral.
UCCGCUAUGAAAGUUCAGACGGAGUCUGAUUCUUGCAGAAGGCUGAAAGGAGGCCGCUUAUUGUAGCAGCUCGGAUGAGGAUCGAUUAUCGUGGAAGCUCGGAGUAGUGUCCUGGCUGGUGGAGCCCGUUCUGUUGUAGAAGUUCAUCCAGAAUCCAUCCACUAUGGAGAAGCUCGGCUGAAAUCUACCUGUAAUAGAAGUUCGGAAGAAAUUCGUUUAUAGUAGAGGCUCGAAUAA